Molecule: ribosomal RNA, 590 nt
Filed under: uncultured marine eukaryote
Lineage: Eukaryota
Description: SSU rRNA
Rfam family: Eukaryotic small subunit ribosomal RNA
Source: RNAcentral
UGCGGUUAAAAAGCUCGUAGUUGGACUUCUGCUGAGGACGACUGGUCUGCCCUCUGGGUGAGUAUCUGGUUCGGCCGAAGCAUCUUCUUGGAGGUUGCAAGCGCACUUGACUGUGUGGUGCAACCGACUGGAAUUUUACUUUGAGGAAAUUAGAGUGUUCAAGGGAGGCACACGCCUCGCAUAGGUUAGCAUGGAAUAAUGCUGUAAGACCAUGGUAUUGCUGUGUUGGUUUCUAUCACCUAAGGUAAUGAUAAACAGGGAUAGUUGGGGGCAUUCGUAUUUAACUGUCAGAGGUGAAAUUCUUGGAUUUGUUAAAGACGAACGACUGCGAAAGCAUUUGCCAAGGAUGUUUUCAUUGAUCAAGAACGAAAGUUAGGGGAUCGAAGACGAUCAGAUACCGUCGUAGUCUUAACUAUAAACCAUGCCGACUAGAAAUUGGAGGUCGUUACUUGUACGACCCCUUCAGCACCUUCUGAGAAACCAUAAGUUUUUGGGUUCUGGGGGGAGUAUGGUCGCAAGGCUGAAACUUAAAGGAAUUGACGGAAGGGCACCACCAGGAGUGGAGCCUGCGGCUUAAUUUGACUCAACCA